RNAcentral lists this ribosomal RNA (834 nucleotides) under uncultured soil bacterium. Its description in RNAcentral is "SSU rRNA". It matches the Rfam family "Bacterial small subunit ribosomal RNA", at positions 1 to 896 of the family's 1533-position model. The record is from RNAcentral.
UAGAGUUUGAUCCUGGCUCAGAGCGAACGCUGGCGGCAGGCCUAACACAUGCAAGUCGAGCGCCGUAGCAAUACGGAGCGGCAGACGGGAGAGUAACACGUGGGAACGUGCCCUUCAGUUCGGAACAACCCAGGGAAACUUGGGCUAAUACCGGAUACGUCCGUAAGGAGAAAGAUUUAUCGCUGAAGGAUCGGCCCGCGUCUGAUUAGCUUGUUGGUGAGGUAACGGCUCACCAAGGCGACGAUCAGUAGCUGGUCUGAGAGGAUGAUCAGCCUCACUGGGACUGAGACACGGCCCAGACUCCUACGGGAGGCAGCAGUGGGGAAUAUUGGACAAUGGGCGCAAGCCUGAUCCAGCCAUGCCGCGUGGAUGAUGAAGGCCCUAGGGUUGCAAACUCCUUUCGGCGGGGAUGAUAAUGACGGUACCCGCAGAAGAAGCCCCGGCUAACUUCGUGCCAGCAGCCGCGGUAAUACGAAGGGGGCUAGCGUUGCUCGGAAUCACUGGGCGUAAAGCGCACGUAGGCGGCUUUUUAAGUCAGGGGUGAAAUCCUGGAGCUCAACUCCAGAACUGCCUUUGAUACUGAGAAGCUUGAGUCCGGGAGAGGUGAGUGGAACCGCGAGUGUAGAGGUGAAAUUCGUAGAUAUUCGCAAGAACACCAGUGGCGAAGGCGGCUCACUGGCCCGGUACUGACGCUGAGGUGCGAAAGCGUGGGGAGCAAACAGGAUUAGAUACCUGGUAGUCCACGCUGUAACGAUGAUGCUAGCCGUGUCGGGUUUACUCGUCAGUGCGCAGCUACGCAUAGCAUCCCGCCUGGGGGAGUACGGUCGCAGAUUA